Molecule: ribosomal RNA, 448 nt
Filed under: uncultured Sphingobacteriales bacterium
Lineage: Bacteria; Pseudomonadati; Bacteroidota; Sphingobacteriia; Sphingobacteriales
Description: bacterial SSU rRNA
Rfam family: Bacterial small subunit ribosomal RNA
Source: RNAcentral
AGGAGCAUGUGGUUAAUUCGAUGAUACGCGAGGAACCUUACCUGGGCUCGAACGUAAGAUGACUGUAGGUGAAAGCUUACAUCUCUUCGGAGCAUUUUACGAGGUGCUGCAUGGUUGUCGUCAGCUCGUGCCGUGAGGUGUCGGGUUAAGUCCCAUAACGAGCGCAACCCCUACCUUUAGUUGCCAUCAGGUUAAGCUGGGGACUCUAAAGGAACUGCCUACGCAAGUAGUGAGGAAGGCGGGGAUGACGUCAAAUCAGCACGGCCCUUACGUCCAGGGCUACACACGUGCUACAAUGGCCGAUACAGAGGGCAGCUACCUGGUGACAGGAUGCAAAUCUCCAAAGUCGGUCUCAGUUCGGAUCGGAGUCUGCAACCCGACUCCGUGAAGUUGGAUUCGCUAGUAAUCGCGCAUCAGCCAUGGCGCGGUGAAUACGUUCCCGGGCCUU